This is a long non-coding RNA of Chinchilla lanigera (long-tailed chinchilla), 732 nucleotides long. RefSeq lists it as uncharacterized. The transcript has 3 exons. Lineage: Eukaryota; Metazoa; Chordata; Mammalia; Rodentia; Chinchillidae. The record is from RefSeq and is a predicted model, not a curated record.
UCGCACUGGUUGUCGUGGAGCCCAGUGGGGGCCUCUCACGGAGGCCCGCCUUCCUCCUCCCUGGGGCCCGGAUGCCUCAUCCUUUCCUGUGCCCAGCCAACUUGGUACCAGGCUGAGGAAGACUUGGGAGAAAUGCAAGAGAAAGACCCAACGCCUGCCCAGCCAGCCUUCUCCGCCCGAGAGAGCAAAUGUUCACCAUGGCCUCCAGCCUUGAAGCCUGAUUCAAGGCUCUGAACAAGGUGAAGCUGGCACACACCGCAGAGAGAUGAAGAGCUGGCGAGAGAUUGAGGGGCUAAAGGGGAGCCCCGGUCCUCAUCCCAUCCUGAGCAGUUCACCCUACUGCUGGACGCAAGUUCCUCGAGGGUGUCGGGACGCAAUCCAGAAUCCAGGGCCUGGCUCCAGGGCACAGAGUGAAAUCCUGAGGCUGGACCCUUCCUUGUCCGGGAGCUGGAGGCCAGUGUCCUAACCCCAGUGCUCAGGAGCCAGAGUCCCGGGGCACCUGACCAGACCCUAGUCCCUCCCUCCCACUCCGCAGCCAACUCCACCUUCUCUGCUAUCAAACAGCCUCCUACCACAUCCUCCUACCACAUCUUCAUCCUCCAACAAGCCCAGCCGGUUCCUGGCACAGAACCCAAUGCCUCGGGUCCCCCGUUAGAGCGCAGCCCUUGGCAGCCAGGUGGGUGCCUCCCGUAGCUCUCACCUGUGGACGUUCACCAGCAUCUCGGUCCCCAC